Molecule: small nucleolar RNA, 122 nt
Filed under: Suricata suricatta (meerkat)
Lineage: Eukaryota; Metazoa; Chordata; Mammalia; Carnivora; Herpestidae
Description: Small nucleolar RNA SNORA51 (ENSSSUG00005002647.1)
Rfam family: Small nucleolar RNA SNORA51
About the family: ACA51 is a member of the H/ACA class of snoRNA that guide the sites of modification of uridines to pseudouridines.
Source: Rfam by way of RNAcentral
UGGCUCGAGAAGGGACUGGGGCUUACACUGACUAUACAGAAAGAGGAGGCAGAGUAAAUCCACCCAUAUACACCCCAGUCCAAGUGCUUUGCCUGGUCUGGAUUGUGAAUGGGGGGACAUGG